Molecule: ribosomal RNA, 445 nt
Filed under: uncultured bacterium
Lineage: Bacteria
Description: bacterial SSU rRNA
Rfam family: Bacterial small subunit ribosomal RNA
Source: RNAcentral
UCCAGACUCCUACGGGAGGCAGCAGUGGGGAAUAUUGCACAAUGGGGGAAACCCUGAUGCAGCGACGCCGCGUGAGUGAAGAAGUAUUUCGGUAUGUAAAGCUCUAUCAGCAGGGAAGAAAAUGACGGUACCUGAUUAAGAAGCCCCGGCUAACUACGUGCCAGCAGCCGCGGUAAUACGUAGGGGGCAAGCGUUAUCCGGAUUUACUGGGUGUAAGGGGAGCGUAGACGGUGAUGCAAGUCAGAAGUGAAAGCCCGGGGCUCAACUCCGGGACUGCUUUUGAAACUGUGUGACUGGAGUGCAGGAGAGGUAAGCGGAAUUCCUGGUGUAGCGGUGAAAUGCGUAGAUAUCAGGAGGAACACCAGUGGCGAAGGCGGCUUACUGGACUGUAACUGACGUUGAGACUCGAAAGCGUGGGGAGCAAACAGGAUUAGAUACCCCAGUA